Molecule: ribosomal RNA, 253 nt
Filed under: uncultured bacterium
Lineage: Bacteria
Description: partial 16S ribosomal RNA
Rfam family: Bacterial small subunit ribosomal RNA
Source: RNAcentral
UACGUAGGGUGCAAGCGUUAAUCGGAAUUACUGGGCGUAAAGCGUGCGCAGGCGGUUAUAUAAGACCGUGGUGAAAUCCCCGGGCUCAACCUGGGAACUGCAUCUGUGACUGUGUAGCUAGAGUACGGUAGAGGGGGAUGGAAUUCCGCGUGUAGCAGUGAAAUGCAUAGAUAUGCGGAGGAACACCGAUGGCGAAGGCAAUCCCCUGGACCUGUACUGACGCUCAUGCACGAAAGCGUGGGGAGCAAACAGG